This 662-nucleotide ribosomal RNA is filed under the name uncultured actinomycete. Its description in RNAcentral is "bacterial SSU rRNA". It matches the Rfam family "Bacterial small subunit ribosomal RNA", at positions 229 to 898 of the family's 1533-position model. Lineage: Bacteria; Bacillati; Actinomycetota; Actinomycetes; Actinomycetales. The record is from RNAcentral.
AUUCGCGGCCUAUCAGCUUGUUGGUGAGGUAACGGCUCACCAAGGCUUCGACGGGUAGCUGGUCUGAGAGGAUGUCCAGCCACACUGGGACUGAGACACGGCCCAGACUCCUACGGGAGGCAGCAGUUAGGAAUCUUGCGCAAUGGGCGAAAGCCUGACGCAGCGACGCCGCGUGCGGGAUGAAGGCCUUCGGGUUGUAAACCGCUUUCAGCAGGGACGAAAUUGACGGUACCUGCAGAAGAAGCCCCGGCCAACUACGUGCCAGCAGCCGCGGUAAUACGUAGGGGGCUAGCGUUGUCCGGAUUUAUUGGGCGUAAAGAGCUCGUAGGUGGUUCGGUUAGUCGGAUGUGAAAUCUCCAGGCUCAACCUGGAGGGGUCAUUCGAUACUGCCGUGACUAGAGUUCGGUAGAGGAGUGUGGAAUUCCUGGUGGAGCGGUGAAAUGCGCAGAGAUCAGGAGGAACACCCGUAGCGAAGGCGGCACUCUGGGCCGAUACUGACACUGAGGAGCGAAAGCGUGGGGAGCGAACAGGAUUAGAUACCCUGGUAGUCCACGCCGUAAACGUUGGGCACUAGGUGUGGGGUUCUAUCGACGGAUUCCGUGCCGUAGCUAACGCAUUAAGUGCCCCGCCUGGGGAGUACGGAAUCGUCGACUGCAGGCGAC